CCUACGGGAGGCAGCAGUGAGGCAUAUUGGUCAAUGGCCGUAAGGCUGAACCAGCCAAGUCGCGUGAAGGAAGAAGGAUCUAUGGUUUGUAAACUUCUUUUAUAGGGGAAUAAAGGUAUCCACGUGUGGAUAUUUGCAUGUACCCUAUGAAUAAGCAUCGGCUAACUCCGUGCCAGCAGCCGCGGUAAUACGGAGGAUGCGAGCGUUAUCCGGAUUUAGUGGGUUUAAAGGGUGCGUAGGUUGUUUUUUAAGUCAGCGGUGAAAGUUUGUGGCUCAACCAUAAAAUUGCCGUUGAAACUGGAAGACUUGAGUGUGUUUGAGGUAGGCGGAAUGCGUGGUGUAGCGGUGAAAUGCAUAGAUAGCACGAAGAACUCCGAUUGCGAAGGCAGCUUACUAAGCCAUAACUGACACUGAAGCACGAAAGCGUGGGGAUCAAACAGGAUUAGAUACCCUGGUAGUC
Molecule: ribosomal RNA, 460 nt
Filed under: uncultured bacterium
Lineage: Bacteria
Description: partial 16S ribosomal RNA
Rfam family: Bacterial small subunit ribosomal RNA
Source: RNAcentral